GAUACUCAAUUUAAAGUUAGUAAACAAAAUUCCAUACUCAAUGUCAUAGAUCCCUACAGAAUUAUGUGGAAAGACGUAUUCAAUGAAAGUUGUAUGUACGGCUUGGAGGGAUAUCUUUUCUAUCUUUUGAGAUUCACCCUACAAGAAAGACUAAUUCAUUUGGAUCGAUAUAAGGACCCAACCCUAUUGCAUUGUCGGAAUGGGGGGAGAUGGAUAGUGCGUUCGAGCUAUGGGGUUCUCCUGCCACCUGUGUGGUCAGUUUUAAUGUUCGCUCACACAGGAUCAUGUGGAAUACGACCGGACGAGUCGUGUGGUCGGGUGUCCAUUGUGUCACAAGUGUGGUGA
RNAcentral lists this ribosomal RNA (345 nucleotides) under Triticum aestivum (bread wheat). RNAcentral's name for it is "partial small subunit ribosomal RNA". The record is from RNAcentral. Lineage: Eukaryota; Viridiplantae; Streptophyta; Magnoliopsida; Poales; Poaceae.